GUGCUCGUUUGGGCAGCCCAUAUACUAACAUUGGAACAAUACAGAGAUUAGCAUGGCCCCUGAGCAAGGAUGACUUACAACUUCGUGAAGUGUUCCAUAUUUUU
Molecule: small nuclear RNA, 104 nt
Organism: Saimiri boliviensis boliviensis (Bolivian squirrel monkey)
Lineage: Eukaryota; Metazoa; Chordata; Mammalia; Primates; Cebidae
Source: RefSeq, a predicted model, not a curated record